UUGGGUUGCCGAAAACAUAAUUAUUGAUGACAAUUAUGAAAUUAGUUAAUCAAUUAUGUUAAUAAUUGUUAUGUUAAUUGACUAACAACCGGCCCUUAGGGCCGGUUUUUCGAACGCUAAUCAACAUUGAUCACUAUCAAAUAUUUAAUUACUGUCACAACUGUCAAUGUCAACUUUCGGUUGGGUUGCUGAAAACAUAGUUAAUUAUAAUUAUGAGAUUAGUUAGUCAAUUAACAUAACAAUUAUUAACAUAAUUGAUUAACUAAUUUCAUAAUUGUCAUCAAUAAUUAUGUUUUCGGCAACCCAACCAAAGUUGACAUUGUGACACAAGAAUCUACAGGUCGAGCAAGUCUCGUAAAUUUCACGAUUGCGAGCCACGCUUCACGCAACCGUGUUUGCGUACUUGUGUUUCGAGUUGCGUGGUCGUGCGGAGUUAUAUUUACCAAAUUUAAAUAUAAUCGUUUCUACUGAUUCAUACGCCAUACGCUGUCAAAAUUAAAUCAAUAUGUCAAUAUGGCUACUGGGUGUAAAAGAUAAAUCUUAUUCUAUCUGUUCUUAAUGAGUUUUAGAUAAUUUUAGUUGUAUUUCUUUGUAAUUUUGUGUUGUACAAAGAUUAAUUUAACAUUUUCUCUGGAAGUAUUAAUUUAGAAAGAUAAUAUGCUUCAUUGGUGUUGUGUUUUGAAGUGUGAAAUGCAAAGUAAUUGUGAUAAAGUCAAGAUAAAGUUCACUUUUAAACUGAACUAAAUAAGGUAUCUGAGAGACAACAAUGGUUAAAUGCAAUACAAUGUACAGGUUUUACUAGCGAAAUGAAAAUUUUCCUGUCCUGUCUGCUGUAAUCAUUUUAUAUCUGGAAAACCAGCCGACUUAAUCGAUAAUAACAAUCUCCAGAUUGGGUUCCUUCAAUAAAUAUGGGCUAUUAAUACAAUGAAAUAAGUUCCAGAAAAUCUAAAAUGGAGUGGUAUCAAAGGAGAAUUAAAGGAAAAAAUAUUCAUAUUGAAAUUAUUUAUAAGGCACUGGACUGUCUUAAAUUCUACAAUAAUACUAGAAUCAGCUGAGAGAAGUGGUCUACAAAAAACCAGGAAGGAAACGGAAUAUGUGGCUACGAAAGGCAAAAGAAAGGUUUACAAAGCAAAUGUGACACAUUUUUUUGAAAUAUGUAGGAAUAUCAGUAAAUUGCAUUAAAAAAAUGUAUGAAAAGAUUUUGUUCAAUAAAAAUGUUUAUAUUUA
This is a long non-coding RNA of Diabrotica virgifera virgifera (western corn rootworm), 1227 nucleotides long. RefSeq lists it as uncharacterized. The record is from RefSeq and is a predicted model, not a curated record. The transcript has 3 exons. NCBI's taxonomy places the organism in Eukaryota, Metazoa, Arthropoda, Insecta, Coleoptera, Chrysomelidae.